AUGGCGGAGAUUGUGAUUCUUCUAGCCAUUAGAAAGAUUGGAAUUGCCUUGGCAAAGGCAGCGGAAGACCAGGCCAGCGUACAGUUUGGAAGGUAUGGCACACUACUACUAGAACUACAGGGCAGUAUGGGCCGUGUUGGUAGGGAGCUUCGCAUAAUGCAUGAUGUUCUAUGUCAAAUGGACAUUCGUAGUCACAACAAUCAAGUAUAUGAGGGCUGGUUGGAGGAGGUACAGAAAGUAGCAUAUGUGAUGGAGGACAUGGUGGAUGAGUACUUGUAUCUUGUUGGUCGGGAACAUGAUAUUGGUUGUUGUUUCUUUCUGAAGAAGGGUUUCAAGAAGCCAAGAUCUUUGCUUUCUUUGAACAGGAUAGCUUCCAAGGUGAAGGAAAUAGAGAAAGACCUUUCACACCUGUCAGAUGCAAAAAACCGUUGGGUUCCCAUAAUAAACAACAGGGAAGACAACUCAAAUUACAUUGUCAAGAGAUCCCAAGAUCUAGCAAACAUUUCACGCUCCCUUGAUGAAGAAGAUCUAGUGGGGGUGGAUGAAAACAGAGAGAAACUUGAGCAGUGGUUGGGAGCUGAUGAUCUGGAGUGCUCUAUGAUAGCUCUGCUCGGAAUGGGAGGUCUUGGUAAAACCGCUUUAGCUGCAAAUGUCUACAAUAAGGAGAGGGAGAAAUUCCAGUGCUACGCCUGGGUCUCCAUCUCUCAAACUUAUUCUAGAGAAGAUGUCUUGAGAAAUAUAAUUAAGGAACUUUUUAAAGAUAAUGGCAGUGUUCUAUCUAGCACUCUAGCUAUGGAUAUCAUGAGCCUUGAAGAGACACUAAAGAAAUAUCUGGAGCAACAGAAGUAUCUUAUCGUAUUGGAUGAUGUUUGGACUCCAGAAGCAUUUGAUGAUUUGUCUGGGGCACUUCCUCAUAAUGAUAAGGGUAGUAGACUGAUAAUCACGACAAGGGAAGGCGAUGUUGCUGCACUUGCCUCUCAGGGACAUAUCUUAACACUUGAAGCUUUACAAAAAGACAAGGCAUGGGAUCUCUUUUGUAAGAAAGCCUUUCCAAAAGAUACAAACCAUGAAUGUCCUACAGAAUUGAAGCCAUUGUCCGAGGAAAUAGCUAGCAAGUGCAAAGGCUUGCCUCUUGCUAUUGUGUCAGUUGGUAGCCUCUUGCGUGUGCGUGAGAAAACCAUGGAAGAAUGGAGAAGGAUAAAUGAUCAACUGAGCUGGGAGAUAAUCAAUAAUUCAAGGCUCGACCAUAUAAGGAAUGUUUUGUAUUUGAGCUUCAUCUACCUUCCAACAUACUUGAAAAGUUGUUUCUUGUACUGCAGUCUAUUUCCAGAAGACUAUGUUUUACACAGGAAACAACUUGCACGGUUAUGGGCAGCAGAGGGGUUUGUCGAGGAGAGGGGUGAAAGCACAUUAGAAGAAGUGGCGGAGGGCUAUUUAAAGGAGUUGGUUGACAGAAACAUGUUACAACUUAUCAAGAGGAACACAUUUGGUAGGAUGAAGACAUUCCGAAUGCAUGAUAUCUUGCGUGACUUGGCAUUGGACUUGUGCCAAAAGAACUGCUUUGGUGUUACUUAUGACAAUAAAUGUGAGGGGUCUCUUGAGAUGGUUGGACGACGGUUGGUAGUCCACAAACUAAAGAAGAAGAAGAAGAAUCAGCCAAUUUUUGGUAUACACCAACUUCGUACAGUGAUUACAUUGGACAAUAGCAUGCCCUCAUCCACUAUACCUUUGCUAUUCACGGAGUCAAGAUAUAUGACAGUGCUAGAAUUGCAUGGUCUGCCCAUUGAGAAGAUUCCAGAUGCUAUUGGCGAUCUUUUUAAUCUCCGCCAUUUGAGUUUGCGCGGUUCAAAGGUGAAGAUGCUCCCGAAGUCUAUUGAGAAGCUUUCAAAUUUGUUGACACUUGACCUUUAUGAAUCUGAUAUACAUGAGUUGCCUAGUGGGAUUGUGAAACUGAAGAAGCUCAGGCACUUAUUUGCUGAGAGAGUAAUUGAUUCAAAUUGGAGAGAGCUUGCAAGUUGCAGUGGUGUGCAUAUCCCUAAUGGACUUGGAAAUCUAAUAAACCUUCAGACGCUACAAACAUUGGAAUUAGAGGAUGAUUCUGUUGGACAUUUAGGGGAGCUGAGGCAAUUGAGAAGCUUGAGGUUAUUGAAUGUGAAGGGAAUCUACUGUAGAAGUAUCAGUGAGUCUCUAGUUAAGAUGCAGUAUUUGUCCUUCCUAGAUGUGAUUGCAAGUGAUGAGAAGGAGGUGCUCCUGUUGAAUGUCCGUCUGCCAAACCUGUGGAAGCUAACUAUGAGAGGACGAUUAGCCGAAGGGGUGUUGGAUGAGUCUCCUCUGUUCCAAGCUGCUGGGGGGCAGAACUUGUAUAAAUUGCAUCUAUCUUGGUCACAGCUGAGAGAAGACCCCCUGCCAUCCCUUUCUCGGUUGUCAAACUUGACAUUUCUAGAUUUCACCAGAGCAUACAAUGGAGAGCAUUUGGCAUUUCUCACAGGAUGGUUUCCCAAGCUAGAGAUUCUCUCUCUGGAAGACCUGCCUAAUCUGAAUCGGCUAGAUAUACAGCAAGGUGCCAUGGCAAGCCUGGAAAAAUUAUACUUGGUCAACCUGAGCAGCAUGACGGAGGUCCCAGCUGGCAUUGAGUUCCUCCUGCCCCUCCAGCGUCUAGCCUUCUACGAGAUCAGCAGUGACUUCUUGACCUUGCUGCGCCAAUGGUCCACAACGCCAAGCCAGCAGUAUCACUAUUCUCUCCGAGACUGA
This 2751-nucleotide ribosomal RNA is filed under the name Triticum aestivum (bread wheat). RNAcentral's name for it is "partial small subunit ribosomal RNA". Lineage: Eukaryota; Viridiplantae; Streptophyta; Magnoliopsida; Poales; Poaceae. The record is from RNAcentral.